This 253-nucleotide ribosomal RNA is filed under the name uncultured bacterium. RNAcentral describes it as "partial 16S ribosomal RNA". It matches the Rfam family "Bacterial small subunit ribosomal RNA", at positions 524 to 776 of the family's 1533-position model. The record is from RNAcentral.
UACGUAGGGUGCGAGCGUUAAUCGGAAUUACUGGGCGUAAAGGGUGCGCAGGCGGUUCUGCAAGUCAGGCGUGAAAUCCCCGGGCUUAACCUGGGAAUGGCGCUUGAAACUACGGGACUGGAGUAUGGCAGAGGGAGGUGGAAUUCCACGUGUAGCGGUGAAAUGCGUAGAGAUGUGGAGGAACACCGAUGGCGAAGGCAGCCUCCUGGGCCAAUACUGACGCUCAUGCACGAAAGCGUGGGGAGCGAACCGG